AUGAACGCUGGCGGCGUGCCUAAUACAUGCAAGUCGAGCGAACAGACGAGGAGCUUGCUCCUCUGACGUUAGCGGCGGACGGGUGAGUAACACGUGGAUAACCUACCUAUAAGACUGGGAUAACUUCGGGAAACCGGAGCUAAUACCGGAUAAUAUAUUGAACCGCAUGGUUCAAUAGUGAAAGACGGUUUUGCUGUCACUUAUAGAUGGAUCCGCGCCGCAUUAGCUAGUUGGUAAGGUAACGGCUUACCAAGGCAACGAUGCGUAGCCGACCUGAGAGGGUGAUCGGCCACACUGGAACUGAGACAGGGUCCAGACUCCUACGGGAGGCAGCAGUAGGGAAUCUUCCGCAAUGGGCGAAAGCCUGACGGAGCAACGCCGCGUGAGUGAUGAAGGUCUUCGGAUCGUAAAACUCUGUUAUUAGGGAAGAACAAAUGUGUAAGUAACUAUGCACGUCUUGACGGUACCUAAUCAGAAAGCCACGGCUAACUACGUG
Molecule: ribosomal RNA, 496 nt
Filed under: uncultured bacterium
Lineage: Bacteria
Description: partial 16S ribosomal RNA
Rfam family: Bacterial small subunit ribosomal RNA
Source: RNAcentral